AUACGGAGGGUGCAAGCGUUGUCCGGAUUUAUUGGGUUUAAAGGGUGCGUAGGUGGCGUGUUAAGUCAGUGGUGAAAGCCUGCAGCUCAACUGUAGAGGUGCCAUUGAUACUGACAUGCUUGAGUAUGGACGAGGUAGGCGGAAUUUGUGGUGUAGCGGUGAAAUGCAUAGAUACCACAAAGAACACCGAUAGCGAAGGCAGCUUACUGGACCAUAACUGACACUGAGGCACGAAAGUGUGGGUAGCGAACAGGAUUAGAAACCCUUGUAGUCC
RNAcentral lists this ribosomal RNA (274 nucleotides) under uncultured bacterium. RNAcentral's name for it is "partial 16S ribosomal RNA". It matches the Rfam family "Bacterial small subunit ribosomal RNA", at positions 523 to 796 of the family's 1533-position model. The record is from RNAcentral.